This 635-nucleotide ribosomal RNA is filed under the name Entoloma bloxamii. Its description in RNAcentral is "eukaryotic LSU rRNA". It matches the Rfam family "Eukaryotic large subunit ribosomal RNA", at positions 1 to 633 of the family's 3401-position model. The record is from RNAcentral. Lineage: Eukaryota; Fungi; Basidiomycota; Agaricomycetes; Agaricales; Entolomataceae.
UGACCUCAAAUCAGGUAGGAUUACCCGCUGAACUUAAGCAUAUCAAUAAGCGGAGGAAAAGAAACUAACAAGGAUUUCCCUAGUAACUGCGAGUGAAGCGGAAAAAGCUCAAAUUUAAAAUCUGAUAGUCUUUUGGCUGUCCGAGUUGUAAUCUAAAGAAGUGUUAUCCGUGCUGGACCAUGUACAAGUCUCCUGGAAUGGAGCGUCAUAGAGGGUGAGAAUCCCGUCUUUGACAUGGACUACCAGCGCAUUUGUGAUGCACUUUCAAAGAGUCGAGUUGUUUGGGAAUGCAGCUCUAAAUGGGUGGUAAAUUCCAUCUAAAGCUAAAUAUUGGCAAGAGACCGAUAGUGAACAAGUACCGUGAGGGAAAGAUGAAAAGCACUUUGGAAAGAGAGUUAAACAGUACAUGAAAUUGUUGAAAGGGAAACGCUUGAAGUCAGUCAUGUUGACAUAGGAAUCAACCUUGCUUUAAUUAGCUUGGUGCACUUUCUGGUUGACAGGUCAGCAUCAAUUUUGACUGAUGGAUAAAGACUUGAGGAAUGUGACAUCUAUGGAUGUGUUAUAGCCUUUGGUUGUAUACAUUGGUUGAGAUUGAGGAAUUCAGCAUGCCUUUUACAAGGUCAGGUUUUUAUAAA